GAUUUCAUGGAUUCAAUUUAAUCAAUCAAUGAAAAAUAAAAACAAAUGCAAUCCAUCCUUCCUCCUCCAAGACUUUCAUUUUUCAAAAUGUCAUGAGUCUCCGACUGCAUCGCAGUAAUUGUUUCAGUCGCUGCCUGCUUUUUGUCUCCAGAUCAUGCAAGAGAAUGCUACAAAACAAGCCGUUUUUAUUGUUACCAUAUAACAGAAUACGUCUGGAGGAGGCUACCGCCACACAUGACUCAAAAUAUAAUUUAUUAGGAAAAUCGACAUUAUUAUCUGAUGCUAGAAUAGUUAAUAUUAAAACAACCAGCUGUAUAAAAGUUAUAGAUAGAAUGUAAGCAUAGAGAAUAAACCAAAUACAUCUCUAGAAAGAAGAAUCCUAAAAAAUCGAAAUUUGGUGAGUUACAAAACCUGCGUCAAUGUCAACAAAAGGACUUUUUAUGAUUGAAACACACCUGGGGUGACGCCUCCGCCUUUCGUUUUGAUUUCAUCAUAGCUGGGUCUGAUUUGCGUUAAAUCUGGCACAACUAGACUGUACAGAGGGCCGUCCUCUGAUGAGUCCUCUUCAGCGUUAAAAAGUAGCUUUGUUUCUUUCAUAAGACAUUUCAAAAUCUACAGAAAUAAGGAAGAGAAAAAUUAGAUUACGGCAAGUGAACUUGGCAAGUAACUUUUGCAGGUUCAAAUUACAAAUUCAAUCUUUUCAAUCCUCUGAAAAUGUGGAAUAUGAUCAUCAACCGGAAAAGGAACUUUUGAAAAUAGAGACAAAAAAAAAAAAAA
Non-coding RNA from Bemisia tabaci, 777 nucleotides. The record is from RefSeq and is a predicted model, not a curated record. Lineage: Eukaryota; Metazoa; Arthropoda; Insecta; Hemiptera; Aleyrodidae.